This 76-nucleotide transfer RNA is filed under the name Prevotella sp. CAG:1124. Its description in RNAcentral is "transfer RNA-Phe(GAA)". It matches the Rfam family "tRNA". From Rfam's summary of the family: Transfer RNA (tRNA) molecules are approximately 80 nucleotides in length. Their secondary structure includes four short double-helical elements and three loops (D, anti-codon, and T loops). Further hydrogen bonds mediate the characteristic L-shaped molecular structure. tRNAs have two regions of fundamental functional importance: the anti-codon, which is responsible for specific mRNA codon recognition, and the 3' end, to which the tRNAs corresponding amino acid is attached (by aminoacyl-tRNA synthetases). tRNAs cope with the degeneracy of the genetic code in two manners: having more than one tRNA (with a specific anti-codon) for a particular amino acid; and 'wobble' base-pairing, i.e. permitting non-standard base-pairing at the 3rd anti-codon position. Lineage: Bacteria; Pseudomonadati; Bacteroidota; Bacteroidia; Bacteroidales; Prevotellaceae. The record is from RNAcentral.
GGUGCCAUAGCUCAGUUGGUAGAGCAAAGGACUGAAAAUCCUUGUGUCCCCGGUUCGAUUCCUGGUGGUACCACUA